Molecule: ribosomal RNA, 465 nt
Filed under: Vreelandella stevensii
Lineage: Bacteria; Pseudomonadati; Pseudomonadota; Gammaproteobacteria; Oceanospirillales; Halomonadaceae
Description: partial 16S ribosomal RNA
Rfam family: Bacterial small subunit ribosomal RNA
Source: RNAcentral
CCUACGGGUGGCUGCAGUGGGGAAUAUUGGACAAUGGGGGGAACCCUGAUCCAGCCAUGCCGCGUGUGUGAAGAAGGCCCUCGGGUUGUAAAGCACUUUCAGUGAGGAAGAACGCCUGGUGGUUAAUACCCAUCAGGAAAGACAUCACUCACAGAAGAAGCACCGGCUAACUCCGUGCCAGCAGCCGCGGUAAUACGGAGGGUGCGAGCGUUAAUCGGAAUUACUGGGCGUAAAGCGCGCGUAGGUGGCUUGAUAAGCCGGUUGUGAAAGCCCCGGGCUCAACCUGGGAACGGCAUCCGGAACUGUCAAGCUAGAGUGCAGGAGAGGAAGGUAGAAUUCCCGGUGUAGCGGUGAAAUGCGUAGAGAUCGGGAGGAAUACUAGUGGCGAAGGCGGCCUUCUGGACUGACACUGACACUGAGGUGCGAAAGCGUGGGUAGCAAACAGGAUUAGAUACCCUUGUAGUC